UAAUACGGAGGGUCCGAGCGUUAUCCGGAAUUAUUGGGUUUAAAGGGUCCGUAGGCGGGCGAUUAAGUCAGUGGUGAAAGUCUGCAGCUCAACUGUAGAAUUGCCUUUGAUACUGGUCGUCUUGAGUUAUGGUGAAGUUGCUGGAAUAUGUAGUGUAGCGGUGAAAUGCAUAGAUAUUACAUAGAACACCGAUUGCGAAGGCAGGUGACUAACCAUAUACUGACGCUGAUGGACGAAAGCGUGGGGAGCGAACAGGAUUAGAUACCCUGGUAGUCCACGCCGUAAACGAUGGAUACUAGCUGUCCGGGACAGUAAGUUCUGGGCGGCCAAGCGAAAGUGAUAAGUAUCCCACCUGGGGAGUACGUUCGCAAGAAUG
Molecule: ribosomal RNA, 376 nt
Filed under: uncultured Flavobacteriia bacterium
Lineage: Bacteria; Pseudomonadati; Bacteroidota; Flavobacteriia
Description: bacterial SSU rRNA
Rfam family: Bacterial small subunit ribosomal RNA
Source: RNAcentral